RNAcentral lists this ribosomal RNA (305 nucleotides) under uncultured bacterium. RNAcentral describes it as "bacterial SSU rRNA". It matches the Rfam family "Bacterial small subunit ribosomal RNA", at positions 337 to 640 of the family's 1533-position model. The record is from RNAcentral.
GCCUACGGGGGGCAGCAGUGAGGAAUAUUGGUCAAUGGUCGGGAGACUGGACCAGCCAAGCCGCGUGAGGGAUGAAGGUACAGAGUAUCGUAAACCUCUUUUGUCAGGGAACAAAGGCGGGGACGUGUCCCCGGAUGAGUGUACCUGAAGAAAAAGCAUCGGCUAACUCCGUGCCAGCAGCCGCGGUAAUACGGAGGAUGCGAGCGUUAUCCGGAUUUAUUGGGUUUAAAGGGUGCGCAGGCGGUCUGUUAAGUCAGCGGUCAAAGCCCGGGGCUCAACCCCGGCCCGCCGUUGAAACUGGCACU